GAAAACUACACCUUCGCGGGCGGAAAGGCUAACCCUCAUAAAACCGGCCCGGACAAAGAUAUUUAACAACGGAGUGCGAGCGGAAGCGAAAUGACAAAUAUUCCGGUAAAACUACGUGGCAUCGUUGGAACCGGUAUUGAAACAAUUGGUUAAGCGAGUGGUUAAGAGAAACAACGACCCGUCGAAAAAAUCAACACACCCAUAUUGAACCUCAUACUUUGGCUGCGGCUAUGGUGUCCGGACAUCAUUCAGUUUUACAUCUAAAGUUGAAACUUUGUGUAAAUAAUGCUGCUGAUGAAUGUUGGACCGCCUAUUUAAAUCAUUCUGAUUCUUCGCAAAGCUGAUUGCUGGCUGGUUCAAGGAAAUGAAAGUUCAAAUUGGACGAUGUGACGGUGCAGAGGCAGUCCGCAGAAUGCAUGUUUUCCACCAGCAAAAAAGAUGCUUCAAAGAGAAAAGUGAUGUAGGUACUAUGCCUAUUUCCAACUGAUACAUAGGCCACACUGAUGUUACGCUCUAAGAAAAUUCUGACCGCAAGGACAUUGCUGGAACAGCUGGUAUAUACCGGGCAAGUUAAUUUUCAUUUGAUUUUUAUUUUUUUAUUCCAUUUUAAAUGCUUUUUAUUUAGCUUUAGUUUUA
Long non-coding RNA from Armigeres subalbatus, 636 nucleotides. RefSeq lists it as uncharacterized. The record is from RefSeq and is a predicted model, not a curated record. Lineage: Eukaryota; Metazoa; Arthropoda; Insecta; Diptera; Culicidae. The transcript has 3 exons.